UUGGUGUAUCCUCGCUCAUAGCUCCUCAGAGAUCACAAGUAAGAGCUUUGGGACGGCCUGCAAGAUGGCGGAGUGGAACAACCUCCGGUUCAAGCGAGGACCGAGGAGCGAGGAAACGACGAAUAAGAGACUUGAGAAGCACCCAUGGAACCCUCUGUGAUGUUUAUCAGUCUGCUGCCCGUCUGCUCUGUGUUUUGGUUGAUUCCAAGGUUCCCUGUUUGGAGUGGCGUGAUGUUCUGUCCUUUACAGAGCACCUUGUAUUAAGUGGUUCAAUUGGUCGGCUUGUGGUGGAGGCUAGGCACGCUAGUAUGGGUCCCUUCACCAAUUGUAGUGUUAACAGCACUGGGGCACGAUUGGGGACACGAUUUGCAGUGAACCGGUUUGCAGUGACUAUUGAUUGCAGUGGACCACUCCGACCUUUUGUUUCUUUAAUAAUAUACAGCAAUAAUUGGGAGUGUGCUUUAUUAAAAAGAAGUAACCUGUUUGCCGAAAUUGUAAUAAACUUCCAUAUUCCAUUGUAAUUU
Micropterus salmoides (largemouth bass) is the source of this 524-nucleotide long non-coding RNA. RefSeq lists it as uncharacterized. NCBI's taxonomy places the organism in Eukaryota, Metazoa, Chordata, Actinopteri, Centrarchiformes, Centrarchidae. The transcript has 3 exons. The record is from RefSeq and is a predicted model, not a curated record.